UACGUAGGGGGCAAGCGUUGUCCGGAAUCAUUGGGCGUAAAGAGCGUGUAGGCGGUCCGGUAAGUCAGCUGUGAAAGUCCAGGGCUCAACCCUGGGAUGCCGGUCGAUACUGCCGGACUAGAGUACGGAAGAGGCGAGUGGAAUUCCUGGUGUAGCGGUGAAAUGCGCAGAUAUCAGGAGGAACACCUAUUGCGAAGGCAGCUCGCUGGGACGUUACUGACGCUGAGACGCGAAAGCGUGGGGAGCAAACAGG
RNAcentral lists this ribosomal RNA (253 nucleotides) under uncultured bacterium. Its description in RNAcentral is "partial 16S ribosomal RNA". It matches the Rfam family "Bacterial small subunit ribosomal RNA", at positions 524 to 776 of the family's 1533-position model. The record is from RNAcentral.